GACAACGCUGGCGGCGUGCCUAAUACAUGCAAGUCGAGCGAACUGAUUAGAAGCUUGCUUCUAUGACGUUAGCGGCGGACGGGUGAGUAACACGUGGGCAACCUGCCUGUAAGACUGGGAUAACUUCGGGAAACCGAAGCUAAUACCGGAUAGGAUCUUCUCCUUCAUGGGAGAUGAUUGAAAGAUGGUUUCGGCUAUCACUUACAGAUGGGCCCGCGGUGCAUUAGCUAGUUGGUGAGGUAACGGCUCACCAAGGCAACGAUGCAUAGCCGACCUGAGAGGGUGAUCGGCCACACUGGGACUGAGACACGGCCCAGACUCCUACGGGAGGCAGCAGUAGGGAAUCUUCCGCAAUGGACGAAAGUCUGACGGAGCAACGCCGCGUGAGUGAUGAAGGCUUUCGGGUCGUAAAACUCUGUUGUUAGGGAAGAACAAGUACGAGAGUAACUGCUCGUACCUUGACGGUACCUAACCAGAAAGCCACGGCUAACUACNUGCCANCAGCCGCGGUAAUACNUANGUGGCAAGCGUUAUCCGGAAUUAUUGGGCGUAAAGCGCGCGCANGCGGNUUCUUAANUCNGANGNGAACCACCGCUGCUC
Molecule: ribosomal RNA, 600 nt
Filed under: Priestia megaterium
Lineage: Bacteria; Bacillati; Bacillota; Bacilli; Caryophanales; Bacillaceae
Description: bacterial SSU rRNA
Rfam family: Bacterial small subunit ribosomal RNA
Source: RNAcentral